CCAUACCAUCUUGUAAUAAUGUAAUAUUCUUUUCAAGAUGUAUUUGUAAAUGGGGCCCUUCUGUGGUCUUGUGAAGUGUACUACCACCUGGGAAAAGCCACCUUAGACAUUUGUCAGUGAGAUUCAGCAAAGGUAUCGUUACAUUCCAUUCAAUAACUACCCAUUCACCUUCUGAGCCACUUAUGAUAUUGUUAGUGGUAUUAACAGUGACAGAUUUAUUUACAAUACCCAGAUUAAUUAUAGUAACUG
Molecule: non-coding RNA, 249 nt
Organism: Pelobates cultripes (western spadefoot toad)
Lineage: Eukaryota; Metazoa; Chordata; Amphibia; Anura; Pelobatidae
Source: the annotation of a GenBank genome assembly